UUAUAAGAGACAGCAGUAGCCGCGGUAAUACGUAGGUGGCAAGCGUUGUCCGGAAUUAUUGGGCGUAAAGGGCUCGCAGGCGGUCUCUUAAGUCUGAUGUGAAAGCCCCCGGCUCAACCGGGGAGGGUCAUUGGAAACUGGGAAACUUGAGUGCAGAAGAGGAGAGUGGAAUUCCACGUGUAGCGGUGAAAUGCGUAGAGAUGUGGAGGAACACCAGUGGCGAAGGCGACUCUCUGGUCUGUAACUGACGCUGAGGAGCGAAAGCGUGGGGAGCGAACAGGAUUAGAUACCCGUGUAGUCCCUGUCUCUUAUAC
This 314-nucleotide ribosomal RNA is filed under the name uncultured bacterium. RNAcentral describes it as "partial 16S ribosomal RNA". It matches the Rfam family "Bacterial small subunit ribosomal RNA", at positions 499 to 807 of the family's 1533-position model. The record is from RNAcentral.